This 3807-nucleotide ribosomal RNA is filed under the name Triticum aestivum (bread wheat). RNAcentral's name for it is "partial small subunit ribosomal RNA". The record is from RNAcentral. Lineage: Eukaryota; Viridiplantae; Streptophyta; Magnoliopsida; Poales; Poaceae.
AUGGCGGCGGCGUGGGGCGGCACCACGCAGAAGUGCGCCUCCUGCGGCAAGAAGGUGUACCCCGUCGAGGAGCUCGCCGCCGACGGCCGCGCCUACCACCGCCCCUGCUUCCGCUGCCACCACUGCAAGAGCACCCUCCAGUUUAGCAAUUAUUCUUCCAUCGAAGGUGUCCUGUACUGCAAACCUCACUAUGACCAGAUAUUAAAAUCAACUGGCAGUUUGGAAAAAAGUUUUGAAGGUGUGACAAGAUCAGCUAAAUCAGAAAAAUCAAAUGGACCCAAGGGCCAGCAAAACAGCAGAUUCUCUAGUAUGUUUGUUGGCACGCAAGACAAGUGCGUAGUUUGUAACAAGACUGUGUACCCUCUUGAAAAGGUUGAUCUUAACGGGGGCGCGUAUCAUAAAUCAUGCUUCCGUUGCACCCAUGGUGGUUGUACACUCAGCCCAUCCAACAAUGUCACGCAUGAAGGCAAACUUUAUUGCAAGACCCACCAUUCUCAGUUGUUUAUGGUCAAGGGAAACUUCAGUCAGUUCGAGGAGAACACUGUAAAUGCAAAAGUGGCUGUCGAGAAACUACCAGAAACUGGAGAAGCCACCAACAAGCCAGGUCAAGGUGAUGAAAUCGGUGAGAAGACCUCAGAAAAUGAGCUCACAGCUGACAAACCAUCCCAAAAUGAUGUUGCAGCUGAAAACCCAUUGCAGAGUAGCAUUGAUGUUCCUAAACCAUCAGAAAGCACAGUCGAGAAGUCAGCAGAAAGUGAAAGUGUUACUGAGAGUGAGUCAAAGAGUCCUGUAGUUAACAAUAAGCCAUUUGAAAGCAGUGCCGAGAAGCCACAUCAGAGCAGUGUGGUUGAUACUAAGCCAUCAGGAAGCAGUGCGGCCAUAAGAAAACCAUGGCAACGCAGUCUUCCCACAAAUAAGCCGUCAGUGAUUAGUGCAUCAACUGAAAAGCCAUCACCGAGCGAUGCAGCCAUUGAGAAGCCGUCAUCCAGUAAUGGGUCUAAUGGGAAACCGUCGGACAGCAGCACAGGGGUAAAAAAGUCAUGGCAGCACAGUGUAGCUACUGAGAACCCACAGCAGAGCAUGUUACCAUCGGAUAAGCCAGCAUCAACCAGUGCAGAUGAUGUGAAGCCAUCAGAAAGCGGCAAAGUGGUCAAAAAAACAUGGCAACGCCCUGUGGUUGCUGAGAACCAGAAACAAAACAGUGGACCAACCGAGAAGCCGUCACCGACGAGUGACACAAAGCCAUUAGAUAGGAGCACAACAAUUAAAAGACCAUGGGGCCGCAGAAUAGCCAGUGAGAAAUCUCUGCAGAGCAGUGAGGUUGAUAUGAAACCAGUGGAAACCAGUACAGUGGUUACUGUUCUACAGCAGCCCAGUGAGGAACCUCCACAAACCGAUGCAGCUGUGCUACAGCAGCCCAGUGAGGAACCUCAACAAACUAAUGCAGCUGUGCUACAGCAGCCCAGUGAGGAACCUCAACAAACUAAUGCAGAUGAUGUGAAGCCUUCGGAGGACACUGCAGUAGUAGUGAAAAAGCCAUGGCAAUUCAACACGAGAACCGAGAAGCAACCCCAGAGUAGUGUAGUUGAUGCAAAGAAAACUGAAAGUACUGGAGCGAUCAAACGGCAGUGGAAGCGUAACACGCCGUUUGAGAAGCCAUCACAAAGCAGUGCAGCAGCAGCUGUGACAACAACACAAAGCAAUGUGACCGUCACGAAGCCAGCCCCGAGCAACAUGGCUGUGAAGAAGUCAUGGCAAAGAAGUACAACUCCAAAAAAUCUGGCAGCGAGUGAUAUGGCUACCAAUAAAGCAUUGCAAACCAAGGCAGUGAUCGAGAAGCCAUCACAAGAAAGUUCUCAAGAGAAACCAUUACAAGAAAAGACACCUCAAGUCACUGUGAUCACCAAGAAGCGAUCGGAAGAAAGUUCUCAAGAGAAGCCAUCUCAAGAAAAGGCACCUCAAACUGCUGCGAUCAUCGAGAAGCCAUCACAAGAAAGUUCUCAAGAGAAGCCAUCUGAGGCAAAGACACCUCAAAUUGCUGCAACCGCCGAGAAGCCAUCACAAGGAAGUUCUCAAGAAAAGGCACCUCGAAAAGCUUCGAUCACCGGGAAGCCAUCACAAGAAAGUUCUCAAGAGAAGCCAUUACAAAUGAAUGAAUCUUCCAAGGAGCAACUUCAGACUGAAGAUAUUGUUGAGAAACAACUUCAAAGUGAAGAUAUUGCUGAUGCUACACCACAAAGGGACCUGAUGACACAAGAUGAUGUCUCCCUCAAGAAGAUACCAGAGCCUCAAAUUGAUGCCUCUUCUGCCGAACUGACGAAGGAUCCAUCAGAGCAAGAUGGGGCUGCAUCUGGUGAGAACUUGUCAGAGUCUCAAAGUAAGCUAACUGUUGAGCAGACGUUGGAAUCCCAAGACGCUGUGGUUCCUCAAGAGGCAACUGACCAGAUAAUGGAAUCUAAAAAUGAUGCAGGCAUUGAGCAGUCAUCAGAAUCUCAAAGUGUUGCACCGGCAGAGGUUCCAGUGGAGCAACCAUUGCAACAACAAAAAGAUGCAUCUACAGAGCAGCCAUUGGAAUCUCAGCAUGAAGCAGAUGACAAGGAUCAAACAGAGCCUAGUAGUGAUGCAAUUGCUGAGGAGUCAUUGCAGCUUCAAUUUGACACAGCUGCCGUGAAGUUAUCAGAACCACAAACAGAUGCAACUGCUGAUCAGUCGGCUGAGCAGCUACCAGAACCUCAAAGUGACGCAUCAGUGGAGGAACCAGUAGUCCAUCAAAGUAACGUGUCUACUGAGAAGCUAUCUGAGUCUCAAGGUGAUGCAGCUGCUGUUGAAUCAUCCGGACAGCCAUCAGAGCCUGAGGAGCGAUCAGAACGUCAAAUGGAUGCAGCUCCUCAUAAUUUAACUGAUCAGCCAUUGGAACCUCAAAAGGAUGUAUCUAUUGAGAAGCCACUCGAAACUGAGACUAACGUUGUUACUGAUAAUCCAUCAGAAAGUAGCUUAGCUACUGAAACACUGCCUGAAAGCACUCCAAAGAUCAGCACUGCCACCGAGGAACCUGCACAGCGUGAAAUUUCUGAUGAGACACUGCCUCAAAGCAUUGCAUUAGAUACAACACCAGAAAGCGCCACAUCUGUCGAAGAACCCACAUAUGUCGGUGAGGCCAUCGUUGAGAUAUCAGAGGACAGCUCAGCUCCCGAGAAGCCAUCAGAGGAUGCCGUUACUCCUGAGAAGCCAUCAGAUGAAGGUGAUGUAGGUGUGGAGCCAGCAGAAGACAAUGCAGCUCUUAAGAAUCCUUCGGAGGAAGAUGAGGUGAGUGCUGAGCCAUCAAACAACACAGUGGAUCUCGAGAAGCCAUCAGAGGAAAAAGAUGAUGCUAUGAAGCCAGUAGAGGACAGCGUGGCUCUUGAGAAACCAACCGCUGACAAACCUUCAGAGGAAGACAAGGUGGGUGCUGAGCCAUCAGACGAGAGAGUGGAUCUUGAUAAGCCAUCAGAGGACAGCAUGGCUGUUGAGGAGCCAGUCACCGACAAACCAUCAGUGGAAGAUGAAGCCAGUGCUGAGCCAUCAAACGACAGAACAGAUAUCGAGAAACCAUCGGAGGAGAAAGAAGACGCCACUGUGAAGUCAUCAGAGGAUAUCACGUCUCUUGAGAAGCCAGUCACUGACAAACCUUCAGAGGAAGAGGAAGAAGGCGCAGCCAGCGAGAAGCCGUCGCACGACGAUGCUGUCAUCGAGGCGCCAUCGCACGACGACAUGGACUCGGCCACCGACAAACCCUCACCAGCCACAGAGACAAACACAUCAGCCUGA